This 717-nucleotide ribosomal RNA is filed under the name uncultured bacterium. RNAcentral's name for it is "bacterial SSU rRNA". It matches the Rfam family "Bacterial small subunit ribosomal RNA", at positions 28 to 734 of the family's 1533-position model. The record is from RNAcentral.
AUUGAACGCUGGCGGCAGGCCUAACACAUGCAAGUCGAGCGGCAGCGGGAGGAAGCUUGCUUCCUCGCCGGCGAGCGGCGGACGGGUGAGUAAUGUCUGGGAAACUGCCCGAUGGAGGGGGAUAACUACUGGAAACGGUAGCUAAUACCGCAUAACGUCUACGGACCAAAGUGGGGGACCUUCGGGCCUCACACCAUCGGAUGUGCCCAGAUGGGAUUAGCUGGUAGGUGGGGUAAUGGCUCACCUAGGCGACGAUCCCUAGCUGGUCUGAGAGGAUGACCAGCCACACUGGAACUGAGACACGGUCCAGACUCCUACGGGAGGCAGCAGUGGGGAAUAUUGCACAAUGGGCGCAAGCCUGAUGCAGCCAUGCCGCGUGUGUGAAGAAGGCCUUCGGGUUGUAAAGCACUUUCAGCGAGGAGGAAGGCGUUGUAGUUAAUAGCUGCAACGAUUGACGUUACUCGCAGAAGAAGCACCGGCUAACUCCGUGCCAGCAGCCGCGGUAAUACGGAGGGUGCAAGCGUUAAUCCGAAUUACUGGGCGUAAAGCGCACGCAGGCGGUCUGUUAAGUCAGAUGUGAAAUCCCCGGGCUUAACCUGGGAACUGCAUUUGAAACUGGCAGGCUAGAGUCUCGUAGAGGGGGGUAGAAUUCCAGGUGUAGCGGUGAAAUGCGUAGAGAUCUGGAGGAAUACCGGUGGCGAAGGCGGCCCCCUGGAC